UUGGUGUUACUUCUUACAGUGA
Drosophila melanogaster (fruit fly) is the source of this 22-nucleotide non-coding RNA. Lineage: Eukaryota; Metazoa; Arthropoda; Insecta; Diptera; Drosophilidae. The record is from Ensembl.